UUUUGACCUCAGUUCAGACAAGGCUACCCGCCGAAUUUAAGCAUAUUACUAAGCGGAGGAAAAGAAAAUAACAAUGAUUCCCCUAGUAACGGCGAGCGAACCGGGAAGAGCCCAACUUGGAAAUCUGGAGGCUUGUCCUUCCGAAUUGUAGUCUAGAGUAGUGCCAUCUGCGGCUGGGCCGGUCCCAAGUUCCCUGUAAAGGGACGUUAGAGAGGGUGAGAGCCCCGUCGAGGCCGGUUUAGUCGCUCCACGAUGCGCUUACAAGGAGUCGGGUUGUUUGGGAAUGCAGCCCUAAGCGGGAGGUAAAUUCCUUCUAAGGCUAAAUAUUGGCGAGAGACCGAUAGCGAACAAGUACCGCGAGGGAAAGAUGAAAAGACCUUUGAAAAGAGAGUUAAAAAGUACCUGAAAUUGUUGAGGGGGAAGCGAUUAAAACCAGCGGGUGCUCCCUAGGUAGGCUUUGCCACACGCUAGGGGCUGGUCAACGUGGGUUAGUCGGGGGGGAUAUUACUCCUGACUGACCGAGGACUCGACGUUGGCGGAAUGGUUUUAAUCGGCCCGUCUAGAAACACGGACCAAGGAGUCUAA
This 585-nucleotide ribosomal RNA is filed under the name uncultured Micromonas. RNAcentral's name for it is "eukaryotic LSU rRNA". It matches the Rfam family "Eukaryotic large subunit ribosomal RNA", at positions 1 to 678 of the family's 3401-position model. Lineage: Eukaryota; Viridiplantae; Chlorophyta; Mamiellophyceae; Mamiellales. The record is from RNAcentral.